GCCAAUUCAAGAAUAGCCGGCUCUAUGCAACAAAUCAUCAUUCUUGAAAAAUAAAAGCCAUCCACAGAACGAAAACCAUCAUAUGAAAGAAUUCAAUAUAUAAUAAAAACAUAGUACUUAAUACCACAGCAACAGAACUGAGACUAAUCUUCUACUCCAAGACACAUGAUCCUCAACAAAUAAUAUAAUUUAGCAUGGUCCAAUAACAUAUAUAUAUAAACUGAUAGUUGAGUUAACACUCCAUCAUCAAGAUUGAAUCAAAUAGACAGACAUUAGGAAACCCAAAUCCAAGGUAAAUAAACUAGGAAUUAAUUAAUUAAUUAAUUCUCUUCAUCCAAUUCCUGCAUUUGCUUGAGGACUUCAGCACAGCCAGAAGCAACCUCCUCUGCCAUGUAUAACAUAGCAUUGGCAAACCUGUCAUUAGAGGAAAUGCCGUUGUAACGGGUGAGAAUAACGCGUGCUUGGUCACGUCCAGGUGCUUUUUCGCUGCAACUACGCUCAGGACUGUUUAUUAGCUGCACAUCACACACAUCAUCGGCGCGAUCUUGAUCCACAUAGAUUGUAUAUUCUCCAGUUGCAUCAGUCUUCCCUGGCUUUGUGAACACAACUUCGUUGGUGAUCCUUUGCUUGCAUACCAGCAUAACAUCAGCACCUAAAAAGAUUCAUUAAUCAAACAUAAUAUUGUGUUAACAAACUACCAUAUGGAAAAUGUUCUCCAUGAGGAUUAUAAAUUAUAAGAAUUCCCUUCUUUAUACUUCUGAUUAAACAUUUUUAUGUUGUUCUGAUUUUAUUUGUAUAUAUAGAGAAUAAACAGCAGCAGCAACAACCAAUGGCUACAUGAAUCAAACGAUCCCAUAAUGUUCUAUCAUAUAAUAUAUUUGUAUUCAACUGAUUAAUCUCUAGAUGCAUUCGAAACAAAAUAUUCAAAAUAAUAAUAAUAAUAAAAAAUGAUAAAAAACCUAAAAAUGUGAAAUUGAAUAUUCUUAUAUCUAACUAGUAAAAACAAUCUAUUGUUUCGAAUAGUCUGGUUUGAAGAUUUCACUCAGCAAGGUCAAUCAUUUAACAUUAUAAUAAUAGUAAUAAACCAUUAAUUAAAAAAGUUAUUUUUAAAAAAUAAGAUUAUGGGACUAAAUUACUAGAUCCAACAUACUACUACACAAAAAAUAAAUCAAAACAAUAGCUUAAAUUCUAAACAAAUCUAUUUCCCUAUAUUACACUUAUUUGUGAAAGCAGAUCAGAUCUGAUACUCCAUUAUCUGGAAAAGAAAACCAUGUUCCUCUAUUCCAUUCAAAAUCCUAAAAUCUAAAGCAAAAUUGAAAAUGAACAAACACCAUUUCCAAAAAUUAAAGAAAUUAAAGAAAUUAAAGUACUUUAAGAAAGAGAUCUGAGAGUAAAAAGGGGUUACCAGCAAUGUGAGUGAUAGCGGAAGUUUCAUAACCAGCACGGCAAGGGUCACAUACAACACGACCCUUCAAACAGAAAGGGUUCUUGGCUGGGCGAAUGGCCAUAACCAUCGCUGGAAGAACACACAAAAACAACAAAAAAGCUCCUCUUGAAGCCAUAGUGAAGGAUGAAGAUUGAAGAUAGAGAAUAGAAGAAGAAGAAUGAGAAAUG
Molecule: long non-coding RNA, 1614 nt
Filed under: Medicago truncatula (barrel medic)
Lineage: Eukaryota; Viridiplantae; Streptophyta; Magnoliopsida; Fabales; Fabaceae
Description: lncRNA gene16964
Source: RNAcentral